AUGCUUCCAUUUCACUUUUUGUUGCUACUGUAUUAUUUACGCAUAUUUGCUGUUCUGUCAAUAUGUGCAAGUGGGUCUGCAUUGGCAGCUAAAACACCCCUCCUCCAUGGAAUUAGCGGCACACUUAAAGAUAUCCUUUCAGGUUCUGGUUUGGUUGCUGGUACAACUGUAUCCCCCACUAGGUCAGCUGAUCAGGGUCCCUCGCCGCGCCGUGGAUACGGUGACCUCGUCGGAGCAGUGUGCGGACGAGCCACAAGCCGACGUAGACAGUUGCUCCUGUCACGCACACCGGCUGGUUCUGCUCUAGCGAGCCGCCGGCGUCGUUGCCCAUCUUGA
This 336-nucleotide ribosomal RNA is filed under the name Triticum aestivum (bread wheat). Its description in RNAcentral is "partial small subunit ribosomal RNA". The record is from RNAcentral. Lineage: Eukaryota; Viridiplantae; Streptophyta; Magnoliopsida; Poales; Poaceae.